AAGUCGUAACAAGGUUUCCGUAGGUGAACCUGCGGAAGGAUCAUUAAAGAGAUAGGGUCUUCAUGGCCCGCACCUCCAACCCUUCUGUUGUUAUAACAUACCUUGUUGCUUUUGGCGGGACCGUCUCGGUCUCCGAGCGCACUAACCCUCGGGUUGGUUGCAGCGCCCGCCAGCAGUCCCAACCAAACUCUUGUAUUAAAACCAGUCUGUCCUGAGUAUAAAAUUUUAAUUUAAAUUAAAA
Molecule: unclassified non-coding RNA, 241 nt
Filed under: plant metagenome
Description: partial contains small subunit ribosomal RNA and internal transcribed spacer 1
Rfam family: Eukaryotic small subunit ribosomal RNA (bases 1-46)
Source: RNAcentral